RNAcentral lists this ribosomal RNA (468 nucleotides) under Escherichia coli. Its description in RNAcentral is "bacterial SSU rRNA". It matches the Rfam family "Bacterial small subunit ribosomal RNA", at positions 1 to 463 of the family's 1533-position model. The record is from RNAcentral. Lineage: Bacteria; Pseudomonadati; Pseudomonadota; Gammaproteobacteria; Enterobacterales; Enterobacteriaceae.
UUAAAUUGAAGAGUUUGAUCAUGGCUCAGAUUGAACGCUGGCGGCAGGCCUAACACAUGCAAGUCGAACGGUAACAGGAAGCAGCUUGCUGCUUUGCUGACGAGUGGCGGACGGGUGAGUAAUGUCUGGGAAACUGCCUGAUGGAGGGGGAUAACUACUGGAAACGGUAGCUAAUACCGCAUAACGUCGCAAGACCAAAGAGGGGGACCUUCGGGCCUCUUGCCAUCGGAUGUGCCCAGAUGGGAUUAGCUAGUAGGUGGGGUCACGGCUCACCUAGGCGACGAUCCCUAGCUGGUCUGAGAGGAUGACCAGCCACACUGGAACUGAGACACGGUCCAGACUCCUACGGGAGGCAGCAGUGGGGAAUAUUGCACAAUGGGCGCAAGCCUGAUGCAGCCAUGCCGCGUGUAUGAAGAAGGCCUUCGGGUUGUAAAGUACUUUCAGCGUGGAGGAAGGGAGUAAAGUUAA